Molecule: ribosomal RNA, 43 nt
Filed under: uncultured Glomus
Lineage: Eukaryota; Fungi; Glomeromycota; Glomeromycetes; Glomerales; Glomeraceae
Description: partial 28S ribosomal RNA
Source: RNAcentral
GUAAGAGUACCCGCUGAACUUAAGCAUAUCAAUAAGCGGAGGA